AACGAACGCUGGCGGCAUGCCUAACACAUGCAAGUCGAACGAGACCUUCGGGUCUAGUGGCGCACGGGGGCGUAACGCGUGGGAACCUGCCCUUAGGUUCGGAAUAACGCCCCGAAAGGGGUGCGAAUACCGGAUAAUGUCUUCGGACCAACGAGUUAUCGCGUUUGGAGGGGCCCGCGUUGGCUUCGCUAGUUGGGAGGGUAAAAGGCUACCAAGGCGACGAUCCAUAGCUGGUCAGAGAGGAUGAUCAGCCACACUGGUAGUGAGACACGGCCCAGACUCCUACACGAUGGGGCAGUGGCGAAUAUUGGCCUGUGGGCGGAAGCCUGAUCCACCUCUGACGCGUGAGUGCUGAAGGUCUUAAGGUUGUAAAGCUCUUUUACCCCGGAUGAUAAUGACAGUACCAGCAGAAUAAGCUCCGGCUAACUCCGUG
Molecule: ribosomal RNA, 433 nt
Filed under: uncultured bacterium
Lineage: Bacteria
Description: partial 16S ribosomal RNA
Rfam family: Bacterial small subunit ribosomal RNA
Source: RNAcentral